Molecule: non-coding RNA, 97 nt
Organism: Eumeta japonica
Lineage: Eukaryota; Metazoa; Arthropoda; Insecta; Lepidoptera; Psychidae
Source: the annotation of a GenBank genome assembly
UCAUACCACGUUGAGUACACCGGUUCCAGUCAGAUCGUCGAAGUUAAUCAGCGUCGGGCUGUCAAUACUUAAAUGGGUGACCGCCUGGGAACACUGU